ACACUUACCUGGCAGGGAGACUCCAUGGCUGUGAAGGUGGUUUUCCCAGGGCAAGGUUUAUCCUUCAGGUGUGCUGACACCUACAGCUUCCUCACGUGAGGGAAACUUGACCGCAUAGUUUGCAGUAGUGGGGUACUGCAUUCAUGCUCUUCCCUU
Molecule: small nuclear RNA, 156 nt
Organism: Mastomys coucha (southern multimammate mouse)
Lineage: Eukaryota; Metazoa; Chordata; Mammalia; Rodentia; Muridae
Product: U1 spliceosomal RNA
Exons: 1
Source: RefSeq, a predicted model, not a curated record